GGGGCUGCCUUGGUUUCGACGUGGGUCACGAAGGGGCACGGGGCAUGCCGAGGUCCGAGAUCCUCGUAAAACAGUUCGGAAAGCAAUAAACGCCAAUAACGAGCGUUACGCUCUCGCUGCUUAAUCCAGCGGGACGCUGCACCGGUUCGCCUGAGGGCCGGGUCGGGUAAAACCGACAGCAGCGCCAUAUUUCUCAGGCUGGUACUUCGCCGGAGCCGUGACGGCGGGGUCGAGAACAAGCGGCUGGACCGCGGAUGGCCUGCUGAGGGCAUGGCCGCGGCCGAGACUCUAAAGUUCAUCAGAUAAGCAUGUAGAACCGUCCUUGGACGAUUUGCGGACGCGGGUUCGACUCCCGCCAGCUCCACCA
Molecule: transfer-messenger RNA, 367 nt
Filed under: Burkholderiales
Lineage: Bacteria; Pseudomonadati; Pseudomonadota; Betaproteobacteria
Also listed under: 3 other names
Description: Mesosutterella sp902797695 Standard tmRNA
Rfam family: transfer-messenger RNA
About the family: Bacterial tmRNA, also known as 10Sa RNA or SsrA, is named for its dual tRNA and mRNA-like properties. Its role is to liberate the mRNA from a stalled ribosome.
Source: RNAcentral